This 531-nucleotide long non-coding RNA is filed under the name Homo sapiens (human). RNAcentral describes it as "non-protein coding lnc-IRF4-2:11". Lineage: Eukaryota; Metazoa; Chordata; Mammalia; Primates; Hominidae. The record is from RNAcentral.
ACUUCUCAGAUCAUCACUACAGCGUUUGCAGCUUUCCAGCUCAUCAUGCUGAACUGAAGACAAGACGAGGGGAAAAUCAAGGGUGGGUUUUUCCGCAGCACCGUGGUGUCCCGGCUUGGGAUACGUUUUAUCUGUUGUGAGCCUAAACCUUUUUUACUUCUCAAGCCAGGCCAAAUUUUUGGAUCCCCUUCAGGUUGCAUUGGUAAACAAGAAGGAAAUGUACACAUUCUAUUUAUUCUUACAACCAAGAAAUGAACUAAUUGAGUAGCUAGUGUGGACCACAGUUGCAAAGGAAGGAACUCACAAGCGAGCUCUUCAAGCUGUGAUUAUGUGGGCAGGAACAAUGGCCUGGGUAAAGAGAAGAUGAAUAGCCAUCACUCCAGCCAAACAGCAAAUAUGAAACUCAAAUUGUGCUUUGUUAUUUUUCAAAUAGCAAUGCUGUGUAUUUGUGGGAAUCAUAGGAGAGAUUUUUUAAAAAUUCUUAUCUGCAAAGGUAGAAUGAAUGGGAACAAAAGCACUGACUGUGUAUUU